GAUGAACGCUGGCGGCGUGCCUAAUACAUGCAAGUCGAGCGAACAGAUGAGGAGCUUGCUCCUCUGACGUUAGCGGCGGACGGGUGAGUAACACGUGGAUAACCUACCUAUAAGACUGGGAUAACUUCGGGAAACCGGAGCUAAUACCGGAUAAUAUAUUGAACCGCAUGGUUCAAUAGUGAAAGACGGUUUUGCUGUCACUUAUAGAUGGAUCCGCGCCGCAUUAGCUAGUUGGUAAGGUAACGGCUUACCAAGGCAACGAUGCGUAGCCGACCUGAGAGGGUGAUCGGCCACACUGGAACUGACACACGGUCCAGACUCCUACGGGAGGCAGCAGUAGGGAAUCUUCCGCAAUGGGCGAAAGCUUGACGGAGCAACGCCGCGUGAGUGAUGAAGGUCUUCGGAUCGUAAAACUCUGUUAUUAGGGAAGAACAAAUGUGUAAGUAACUAUGCACGUCUUGACGGUACCUAAUCAGAAAGCCACGGCUAACUACGUG
RNAcentral lists this ribosomal RNA (497 nucleotides) under uncultured bacterium. RNAcentral describes it as "partial 16S ribosomal RNA". It matches the Rfam family "Bacterial small subunit ribosomal RNA", at positions 28 to 507 of the family's 1533-position model. The record is from RNAcentral.